UACGAAGGGUGCUAGCGUUGUUCGGAAUCACUGGGCGUAAAGCGCGCGUAGGCGGCCUUGCAAGUCAGAGGUGAAAUCCCUGGGCUCAACCCAGGAACUGCCUUUGAAACUGCAAAGCUAGAGUGUCGGAGGGGAUAGCGGAAUUCCUAAUGUAGAGGUGAAAUUCGUAGAUAUUAGGAGGAACACCGGUGGCGAAGGCGGCUAUCUGGACGACAACUGACGCUGAGGCGCGAAAGCGUGGGGAUCAAACAGG
RNAcentral lists this ribosomal RNA (253 nucleotides) under uncultured bacterium. RNAcentral's name for it is "partial 16S ribosomal RNA". It matches the Rfam family "Bacterial small subunit ribosomal RNA", at positions 524 to 776 of the family's 1533-position model. The record is from RNAcentral.